Molecule: ribosomal RNA, 255 nt
Filed under: uncultured bacterium
Lineage: Bacteria
Description: partial small subunit ribosomal RNA
Rfam family: Bacterial small subunit ribosomal RNA
Source: RNAcentral
AGGACGAACGCUGGCGGCGUGCUUAACACAUGCAAGUCGAGCGGAAAGGCCCUUCGGGGGUACUCGAGCGGCGAACGGGUGAGUAACACGUGAGCAACCUGCCCCUGGCUCUGGGAUAGCUCCGGGAAACCGGGAUUAAUACCGGACAUGACCUUCUCCUGCAUGGGAGUUGGUGGAAAGUUUUUCGGCCAGGGUGGGGCUCGCGGCCUAUCAGCUUGUGGGGGGGUGACGGCCCACCAAGGCGACGACGGGUAG